AGAGUUUCCUUCUGGCUCAGGAUGAACGCUGGCGGCGCGCCUAACACAUGCAAGUCGAACGGUUAAGCCACCUUCGGGUGGGAAUAAAGUGGCGAACGGCUGAGUAACACGUGGGCAACCUGCCCCUCGCACCGGGACAGCCUCGGGAAACCGUGGAUGAUACCGGAUACUCCGCCUCCCCCGCAUGGGGAGGGCGGGAAAGCCCAGACGGCGAGGGAUGGGCCCGCGGCCUGUUAGCUAGUUGGCGGGGCAGCGGCCCACCAAGGCGAUGAUGGGUAGCCGGGUUGAGAGACCGACCGGCCAGAUUGGGACUGAGACACGGCCCAGACUCCUACGGGAGGCAGCAGUGGGGAAUCUUGCACAAUGGGCGGAAGCCUGAUGCAGCGACGCCGCGUGCGGGACGAAGGCCUUCGGGCUGUAAACCGCUUUCAGCAGGGACGAGGCGAAAGUGACGGUACCUGCAGAAGAAGCCCCGGCUAACUACGUGCCAGCAGCCGCGGUAAUACGUAGGGGGCAAGCGUUAUCCGGAUUCAUUGGGCGUAAAGCGCGCGUAGGCGGCCAGCCUGGUCGGGAGUCAAAUCCGGGGGCUCAACCCCCGUCCGCUCCCGAUACCGGCCGGCUUGAGUCUGGCAGGGGAAGGCGGAAUUCCCGGUGUAGCGGUGGAAUGCGCAGAUAUCGGGAAGAACACCGGUGGCGAAGGCGGCCUUCUGGGCCACGACUGACGCUGAGGCGCGAAAGCUAGGGGAGCGAACAGGAUUAGAUACCCUGGUAGUCCUAGCCGUAAACGAU
Molecule: ribosomal RNA, 789 nt
Filed under: uncultured bacterium
Lineage: Bacteria
Description: bacterial SSU rRNA
Rfam family: Bacterial small subunit ribosomal RNA
Source: RNAcentral